AAUCUUAAAGUUUUUCUAAACAUUAAAUUGCAAAUUUAAAAUUAAUUAAUAAUAUUUAAUUUAAGAUUU
This 69-nucleotide transfer RNA is filed under the name Cleptes metallicorpus. RNAcentral's name for it is "tRNA-Cys". The record is from RNAcentral. Lineage: Eukaryota; Metazoa; Arthropoda; Insecta; Hymenoptera; Chrysididae.